Heterocephalus glaber (naked mole-rat) is the source of this 942-nucleotide long non-coding RNA. RefSeq lists it as uncharacterized. The record is from RefSeq and is a predicted model, not a curated record. NCBI's taxonomy places the organism in Eukaryota, Metazoa, Chordata, Mammalia, Rodentia, Bathyergidae.
GGGGGAGGGUACUUCAGUCUGGGUGGUCACGGAGGGCUUCUCAGAGGAGGUAACCUUGAGCUGAACAGAUGUGAACUAUCCUGCCAUGGAGAGGCCUGGGAGAAGAACAUUCCAGGGGCGACACAGAGCGACUAGCAGAACUUCCAGACAGGAACAGUUUGGUGCCUUUUCCUUAAUUACACCCAGAGAGCACAGGAAAGUGGAUGCCUGCGAUAUUUAUUUUCUGCUCUGAGCCCAACACAGGUCAAAGCAAGGAGAAGGAGGAGAGGGCCUGGAUGAAGAAGUCCUUGAAGUAAUGAAAAGAAAGUAAUCCUGAUUGGCUUCAUCUAGAGCAGUUCAGAGGAGGAAGAGUGGAGAAUCAAAUGAAGCUGUCCCCAGGGCUCCGCUACUCCCCGCCUCCCCGUGGUAGCAGCGGAGAGUCCUUCGGGGCCCAUUGCAACUGGAUCCCUUGGGAGAGUGGAUGACACACACACCCCACCUCAUCUGCAGCACAGAGAAGUGGGGAAGGGCAUAGCUAGAGGGGAACAGAAAGGUGUCCAGGAGAUGGCAAGACAGUGGGAAAGAAAGGGACAGUGACAGCACAAGGAGAGACAGAAAGGCUGGGGAGGUGGGGAGGCUGUGAGAGGAGCAGCCCAGUCCCCUCUGCCCCUUCUCCACCUGCGCAGUGCACCUUCCCCAUAGACACAUCCUGUGUGGGCCUUCCCUCUGCCUUCUGCCUGAGCUGGACUCUGGGGGUCCUGGCAGGACCCUGGGUGGAGAGGAGAGGUGUGUAAUGGGGUAGCUCCUCCUCCAGAGGUCACCAUUCCUGUCCCAUGCUCUUUAAGCCAUCUUGAGCUCCACACUCAGGUAAGGAUGCCUGGCCCGUCCCAGCAGCCCCAGAAUGGGAACAGUCCUGCUGCUACUAGACCCGGAGUGAUAGCCCUCCUUCUGGGGCCCCCCUUG